Molecule: non-coding RNA, 21 nt
Organism: Caenorhabditis elegans
Lineage: Eukaryota; Metazoa; Nematoda; Chromadorea; Rhabditida; Rhabditidae
Source: Ensembl
UAAUGCCAUUUUCCAUCAAUG